This 468-nucleotide ribosomal RNA is filed under the name uncultured bacterium. RNAcentral's name for it is "partial 16S ribosomal RNA". It matches the Rfam family "Bacterial small subunit ribosomal RNA", at positions 28 to 507 of the family's 1533-position model. The record is from RNAcentral.
GACGAACGCUGGCGGCGUGCUUAACACAUGCAAGUCGAACGGAAAGGCCCUGCUUUUGUGGGGUUCUCGAGUGGCGAACGGGUGAGUAACACGUGAGUAACCUGCCCUUGACUUGGGGAUAACUUCAGGAAACUGGGGCUAAUACCGUAUAGUGGCUCCUGCGGCAUGUUGGGUGAUGGAAAGUUUCGGCGGUUGGGGAUGGACUCGCGGCUUAUCAGCUUGUUGGUGGGGUAGUGGCUUACCAAGGCGUUGACGGGUAGCCGGCCUGAGAGGGUGACCGGCCACAUUGGGACUGAGAUACGGCCCAGACUCCUACGGGAGGCCGCAGUGGGGAAUAUUGCACCAUGGGAGGAAGCCUGAUGCAGCAACGCCGCGUGCGGGAUGACGGCCUUCGGGUUGUAAACCGCUUUCGCCUGUGACGAAGAGUGAGUGACGGUAAUGGGUGAAGAAGCACCGGCUAACUACGUG